GACUUCACUUCUUUUGCAGGUGAUCCCAGGAGCUCUGCCUUAACUGACCGUGUGCACAGGUAGGUCUGCCACAGCACUGUCAGCGUGUAUUCUUCUCCAGCUAGAUGGAGUCGACCCCAAAGGAAAAGUUACGAACAGGUGACCUCCACGGUCAGCUGCUCUUCUCCUCUCACGCCCCUUCCAUCUUUUCCCUUCUUGCUUUACGCUUCCCCCCAUGCAGACUCUUCUGGGGGUGAGCUUGACCGAAAAUCAGCAAAUCCAAAUACGCAUGUCGGGGUGACUCUUUGUCUUAUUUUUUUGGCAGAAGAUUUCUUUUUUUCUUUUUACUUUUUGUAGUCAAUAUAGCUUGAAUUAAUAAAUCCAUUUUGUUAGUUAGGUCAAUUCUCAAAAAAGCCGAUAGAACAACCAACAGUUGUUUUCUUUGGGUGUCCUAGUAUGUAUCUUUCCAGGGGCACUGUGAAAGCAGUAAUGCUAUCGCGUAGUCACUGGAAGACCUACUGCCGUUUGAGUUGGAACCUUUGUCUUGGAGGUCUUUCACGUUGUUUCAGGAAUUGCCGUGUUACUGAAAACAUGGUUUUAGAAAGCAAAUACUGCUCAGAUUUAUCUUACGCUCCCCAGAACUCCUCUUCUGGAUUUACUCUUCCUAAUAUUAUUUUUAUACUGACUUUAAAAAUACUGUGCCCAGGAGUUCUUGUCAUGGCUCAGUGGUUAACGAACCAACUAGCAUCCAUGAGGACGCGGGUUCGAUCCCUGGCCUCACUCAGUGGGAUGAGGAUCCAGCAUUGCCAUGAGCUGUGGUGUAGUUUGCAGACCUGGCUCAGAUCCCGAGUUCCCAGGCUAGUGUUUGAAUUGGAGCUACAGCUGCCGGCCUACACCACAGCCCAGCAGUGUAGGAUCGGACACAAGUCUGUGACCUGCACCACAGUUCACAGAAACACCGGAUCCUUAACCCACUGAGCGACACCAAGGGUGGAACCCGUAACGUCAUGAUAACUAGUCGGAUUUGUUUCCACUGAGCCACAAUGGGAACUCUAUUUAUUUUUUUUUUAACACUGGAUUGAUGCUACUGGUACUUGAUGUUAUUUUUUGGAGUAGUGGUUGAGAUAGAGUCAUAGAGCAUUUUCUAAUUGUGGCUCUAGCACUUAUUGUCUUCUCAGCCUUUGGCAACAUACUUCUGUGAUUCUCGCUUGUCUUUUUAUUUAUUGGAGUUCCCGUCGUGGCUCAGUGGUUAAUGAAUCUGACUAGGAACCAUGAGGUUGCAGGUUGGAUCCCUGGCCUUGCUCAGUGGGUUAAGGAUCCAGUGUUGCUAUGAGCUGUAGUGUAGGUCGCAGACAAGGCUCAGAUCUGGCGUUGCUGUGACUGUGGUGUAGGCCGGCAACCUUAGCUCUGAUUCGACCCCUAGCCUGGGAACUUCCAUAUGCUGCAGGUGCAGCCCUAAAAGGAUAAAAG
This 1449-nucleotide long non-coding RNA is filed under the name Sus scrofa (pig). Its description in RNAcentral is "lncRNA (ENSSSCG00015015519.1)". Lineage: Eukaryota; Metazoa; Chordata; Mammalia; Artiodactyla; Suidae. The record is from RNAcentral.